GAGGGUAUAACUCAGUGGUAAAGUGCGUGCUUAGCGUGUACAAGGUCCUGAGUUCAAUCCCCAGUACUGCCA
RNAcentral lists this transfer RNA (72 nucleotides) under Camelus bactrianus (Bactrian camel). It matches the Rfam family "tRNA". Rfam says of the family: Transfer RNA (tRNA) molecules are approximately 80 nucleotides in length. Their secondary structure includes four short double-helical elements and three loops (D, anti-codon, and T loops). RNAcentral also lists the same sequence under 1 other name. The record is from Rfam by way of RNAcentral. Lineage: Eukaryota; Metazoa; Chordata; Mammalia; Artiodactyla; Camelidae.